Molecule: non-coding RNA, 77 nt
Organism: Podarcis lilfordi (Lilford's wall lizard)
Lineage: Eukaryota; Metazoa; Chordata; Lepidosauria; Squamata; Lacertidae
Source: the annotation of a GenBank genome assembly
GGAAGGGUCAAUAGCUCAGUGGAGGAUCAUCUGAUUAGUAUGCAGAAGGUCCCAGUUUCAAUCCCUGGCUGCUGCCA